RNAcentral lists this ribosomal RNA (517 nucleotides) under uncultured eukaryote. Its description in RNAcentral is "SSU rRNA". It matches the Rfam family "Eukaryotic small subunit ribosomal RNA", at positions 26 to 532 of the family's 1831-position model. The record is from RNAcentral.
UAAUGUACCCUCGUCUCAAAGGUUACCCCAUGCAUGUCUAAUUACAUACUAAAAUAAAGUGAAACCGCAAAAGGCUCAUUAUAACACCUGUAAUUUCUUAAAUCAUAUUCCCAGUACUUGGAUAACUGUGGAAAAUCUAAAGCUAAUACAUGCAAAUAAUGCGAGUAUCGUAAAAUUCUCGUGCAUUUAUUAAACAAACCAAUCGGUCUUCGGACUGUUUUAUAUGGGGAAACUCUAAAUAACUUUGCUGAUCGUAUGGCCUUGUGCCAACAACAAAUCUUUCAAAUGUCUGCCCUAUCAACUUUGAUGUUAGUAUAGAGGACUAACAUGGUUGCAACGGGUAACGGGAAAUCAGGGUUCAAUUCCGGAGAGGGAGCCUGAAAAACGGCUACCACAUCUAAGGAAGGCAGCAGGCGCGUAAAUUACCCACUCCCGGCACGGGGAGGUAGUGACAAAAAAUAACAAUAUAAAACUAGUUAACUAUGUUCUGUAUUUGGAAUGAUUCAAGUUUAAAUCC